Uloborus diversus is the source of this 335-nucleotide long non-coding RNA. RefSeq lists it as uncharacterized. The transcript has 3 exons. Lineage: Eukaryota; Metazoa; Arthropoda; Arachnida; Araneae; Uloboridae. The record is from RefSeq and is a predicted model, not a curated record.
CAUUGCUGUUGUUAUUAGCUUCAUUAACUUGUUCUGUGGGUUCAAGUUGUGCCGCUUGUAUGACCUCUUGAUCUUUUCAGCAGGGAAUCCUCUCUCAGGCUCUAGAGAUGAAUGAUACCUGUUUGUCCACACAACAGAGCAUCUUCGACCGUCUGGCUUUGAACCCGCAACCCUUUAGUCCACUUCACUGAUCUAUGAUUUGCAAGUGUAAAAAUUAAGUGGGAUGCUGCGAAUACAAAUGCUAUCAGCGGCAGAAUCGGCAGGUACUUGCUGGAGCUGUAGAUUGGGAUCAUCGGUCUCACAGUAUCAAAUAAAGGACACUGAAUGGUCGAAAC